AGAGUUUGAUCCUGGCUCAGGAUGAACGCUGGCGGUCUGCUUAACACAUGCAAGUCGAACGGAACCUUUCGGGGUUUAGUGGCGGACGGGUGAGUAACACGUGAGAAUCUGCCCUUGGGUUCGGGACAACAGUUGGAAACGACUGCUAAUACCGGAUGUGCCGAAAGGUAAAAGCUUUAGUGCCCGGGGAUGAGCUCGCGUCUGAUUAGCUAGUAGGAGUGGUAACGGCACCCCUAGGCGACGAUCAGUAGCUGGUCUGAGAGGAUGAUCAGCCACACUGGGACUGAGACACGGCCCAGACUCCUACGGGAGGCAGCAGUGGGGAAUUUUCCGCAAUGGGCGCAAGCCUGACGGAGCAAGACCGCGUGAGGGAAGAAGGUCUGUGGAUUGUAAACCUCUUUUGAUGGGGAAGAAGACAGUGACGGUACCCAUCGAAUCAGCCUCGGCUAACUCCGUGCCAGCAGCCGCGGUAAUACGGAGGAGGCAAGCGUUAUCCGGAAUUAUUGGGCGUAAAGCGUCCGUAGGUGGGUUAUCAAGUCAGUUGUUAAAUAGUGAAGCUUAACUUCAUAGAGGCGACUGAAACUGAUAGUCUAGAGAGUGGUAGGGGUAGAGGGAAUUUCCAGUGUAGCGGUGAAAUGCGUAGAUAUUGGAAAGAACACCGGUGGCGAAAGCGCUCUACUGGGCCAUUACUGACACUGAGGGACGAAAGCUAGGGGAGCGAAAGGGAUUAGAUACCCCUGUAGUCCUAGCCGUAAACGAUGGAUACUAGGCGUUGCCCGUAUCGACCCGGGCAGUGUCGUAGCCAACGCGUUAAGUAUCCC
This 821-nucleotide ribosomal RNA is filed under the name uncultured cyanobacterium. RNAcentral's name for it is "bacterial SSU rRNA". It matches the Rfam family "Bacterial small subunit ribosomal RNA", at positions 8 to 870 of the family's 1533-position model. The record is from RNAcentral. Lineage: Bacteria; Bacillati; Cyanobacteriota.